GAAAGGAAUGUGGGCUCAGUGAGCUGCAUCAUCCAUACCAGGAAGCCGACUGUCGCCUAAUGAAAAGAACUGCUGCUUUUCCGGCCGCCGUCUGUGCCUGGAGAACGGCUAGUACCCUUGGACCGGUCACUGGUGUGCCACGGAAACAGACUGCCGGCUAGAAUGCCAUCGACAGCUCCACUGGAGCUGCAUUCCUGUGUGACUCCCCACUUCCCUGUUUCUCAGAGCAACACUGCUCCUUGAUCUGGGCUCACGUCACGCAGGGCAGAAGAAGGGGGGAUACUCUCGGGAAGCCAGCCCGAAGACAGGCAGUCAGCCACAGGCUUCUUCAAGCAUUGGCUCACCGUAGCCAUUUUGGGCAAAUGUCAAAUGAUGUCAUCUACUGCAGAGGCUUCAUGUUGUGCCACUUCCGAUGUUGAGACAUGGGAAGCAAAGUGUAUGUAGUGCGCACAAAUGUCUACAGCAUGUCUGCGUCAGAGGGAGGAGGACUGUGAGAAGGACCAUUCAUCGUGUACUGGAUUCUGUCAGCUGAUCCCCAGUCUCACACCGAAAUUCCUGGCUCUCUAGGCCAUUCAGACCCAUCCCUCCAGACCCAUCCUUCUAGACCCAUCCCUGCAGAUCCAUCUUUCUAGACCCAUCCCUCCAGAUCCAUCUUUCUAGACCCAUCCCCCCAGACCCAUCCAUACAGACCCAUGCUUCUAGACCCAUCCCUAAAGACCCAUCCCUCCAGACCCAUCCUUCUAGACCCAUCCCUCCAGACCCAUCCUUCUAGACCCAUCCCUCCAGACCCAUCCUUCUAGACCCAACCCUAAAGACCCAUCCCUACAGACCCACCCCUAAAGACCUAUCCUUCUAGACCCACCCCUAAAGACCUAUCCUUCUAGACCCAUCUCUCCAGACCCAUGCCUACAGACCCAUCCCUACAGACCCAUGCUUCUAGACCCAUCCCUAAAGACCCAUCUCUCCAGACCCAUCCUUCUAGACCCCUCCCUACACACCCAUACUUCUAGACCCAUUCCUCCAGACUCAUCCCUACAGACCCAUGCUUCUAGACCCAUUCCUCCAGACUCAUCCCUACAGACCCAUGCUUCUAGACCCAUCCCUAAAGACCCAUCCCUCCAGACUUAUCCCUACAGACCCAUGCUUCUAGACCCAUCCCUAAAGACCCAUCCCUUCAGACCCAUCCCUCCAGACCCAUCCUUCUAGACCCAUCCCUACAGACCCAUCCAUUUAGACCCAUUCCUACAGAACCAUCAUUCUAGACCCAUCCCUAAAGACCCAUCCCUCCAGACCCAUCCAUUUAGACCCACCCCUGCAGACCCAUUCUUCUAGACCCAUCCCUCUAGGCCCAUCCCUCCAGACCCAUCCCUCUAGACCCAUCCCUCCAGACUCAUCCAUUUAGACCCAUUCCUACAGACCCAUCCCUACAGAACCACCCCUACAGACCCAUCCUUCUAGACCCAUCCCUAAAGAACCAUCCCUCCAGACCCAUCCAUUUAGACCCAUCCAUUUAGACCCAUCGUUCUAGACCCAUCCCUACAGACCCAUUCUUCUAGACCCAUCCCUACAGACCCAUCCCUCUAGAAUCAUCCCUCCAGACCCAUCACUGUAGAUCCAUCCCUAUAGACCCAUGCUUCUAGACCUAUCCCUAAAGACCCAUCCCUCCAGACCCAUCCUUCUAAACACAUCCCUAAAGACCCAUCCCACCAGACCCAUCCAUUUAGACCCACCCCUGCAGACCCAUCCCUCUAGACCCAUCCCUCCAGACCCAUCCUUCCAGACCCAUCCUUCUAGACCCAUCCCUACAGAACCACCCUUACAGCCCCAUCCUUCUAGACCCAUCCCUACAGACCCAUCCAUUUAGACCCAUCGUUCUAGACCCAUCCCUACAGACACAUCCCUGCAGACCAAUUCUUCUAGACCCAUCCCUACAGACCCACCCCUGCAGACCAAUUCUUCUAGACCCAUCCCUCCAGACCCAUCACUGUAGAUCCAUCCCUCCAAAUCUAUCCCUACAGACCAAUCCCUCCAGACCAAUCCAACCUGACCCAUCCCUCUUAACCAUCCCUCUAGAUCCAUCCCCCAGAUCCAUCCCUCCAGAUCCAUCUCUCUAGAUCCAUCCCUCUAGAUCCAUCCUUCCAGAUCCAUCUCUCUCCAGGCCAACUUACCUAUCACGGUAUGGGGCUCUGGGGCUGCCAGGCUGACUGUGCAAUGGGUCCAACUAAGGGAACAAUAACAGAAACUGAGGUUAAAAAAACCUGCGAGUCAUCUGGUCUACUGUGUAGAGCUUCUAUUAGAAAUCCCCUCUCAGCUCUCUGCCUGGCACACGAGCAGGGGGCCACAAUGGGCGGCUAGUUCCCCUGGGAUUUGGAACACAAAGGCAGGCCGCCACCCUCCCCUCUACAGCCCUGCUCUGUGCCUCCAACCCAACGGGAGCUUCUGGAACUCCUGAAUCAGCAGCUGAGUCCUGACUGAAUAACCCACGUAUCCAAACACACACAAACACAAGUAUGUGUGAACAAACGCACACACACGCAC
This is a long non-coding RNA of Esox lucius (northern pike), 2538 nucleotides long. RefSeq lists it as uncharacterized. The transcript is spliced from 3 exons. The record is from RefSeq and is a predicted model, not a curated record. NCBI's taxonomy places the organism in Eukaryota, Metazoa, Chordata, Actinopteri, Esociformes, Esocidae.